RNAcentral lists this transfer RNA (72 nucleotides) under Camelus bactrianus (Bactrian camel). It matches the Rfam family "tRNA". Rfam says of the family: Transfer RNA (tRNA) molecules are approximately 80 nucleotides in length. Their secondary structure includes four short double-helical elements and three loops (D, anti-codon, and T loops). The record is from Rfam by way of RNAcentral. RNAcentral also lists the same sequence under 2 other names. Lineage: Eukaryota; Metazoa; Chordata; Mammalia; Artiodactyla; Camelidae.
GAGGGUGUAGCUCAGUGGUAGAGCAUUUGCUUAGCAUGCAUGAGGUCCUGGGUUCAAUCCCCAGUACCUCCA